RNAcentral lists this ribosomal RNA (434 nucleotides) under uncultured Ruminococcus sp. Its description in RNAcentral is "partial 16S ribosomal RNA". It matches the Rfam family "Bacterial small subunit ribosomal RNA", at positions 341 to 792 of the family's 1533-position model. The record is from RNAcentral. Lineage: Bacteria; Bacillati; Bacillota; Clostridia; Eubacteriales; Oscillospiraceae.
ACGGAAGGCAGCAGUGGGGAAUAUUGCACAAUGGGCGCAAGCCUGAUGCGGCGAUGCCGCGUGAGGGAAGAAGGUUUUCGGAUUGUAAACCUCUGUCAUCGGGGACGAUAAUGACUGUACCCGAGAAGGAAGCUCCGGCUAACUACGUGCCAGCAGCCGCGGUAAUACGUAAGGAGCGAGCGUUAUCCGGAAUUACUGGGUGUAAAGGGAGUGUAGGCGGGACUGUAAGUCAGAUGUGAAAUAUACCGGCUCAACUGGUAGACUGCAUUUGAAACUGCGGUUCUUGAGUGAAGUAGAGGUAAGCGGAAUUCCUAGUGUAGCGGUGAAAUGCGUAGAUAUUAGGAGGAACAUCAGUGGCGAAGGCGGCUUACUGGGCUUUAACUGACGCUGAGGCUCGAAAGCGUGGGGAGCAAACAGGAUUAGAUACCCUGGUA